This 404-nucleotide unclassified non-coding RNA is filed under the name soil metagenome. RNAcentral's name for it is "partial contains 5.8S ribosomal RNA, internal transcribed spacer 2, and large subunit ribosomal RNA". The stretch from base 1 to 122 matches the Rfam family "5.8S ribosomal RNA", at positions 35 to 154 of the family's 154-position model. The record is from RNAcentral.
GAUGAAGAACGUAGCAAAAUGCGAUACUUGGUGUGAAUUGCAGAAUCCCGUGAACCAUCGAGUUUUUGAACGCAAGUUGCGCCCGAAGCCUUUUGGCCGAGGGCACGUCUGCCUGGGCGUCACGCAUCGCGUCGCCCCCCACAAUUCUCCGUAAAGGGAACGUGUGUUUUGGGGGCGGAUAUUGGUCUCCCGUGCUCAUGGCGUGGUUGGCCGAAAUAGGAGUCCUUUCGAUGGACGCACGAACUAGUGGUGGUCGUAAAAACCCUCGUCCUUUGUUUCGUGCUGUUGCUCGCAAGGUAAACUCUUUAAAAACCCCAAUGUGUCGUCUCUUGACGACGCUUCGACCGCGACCCCAGGUCAGGCGGGACUACCCGCUGAGUUUAAGCAUAUCAAUAAGCGGAGGA